RNAcentral lists this ribosomal RNA (301 nucleotides) under uncultured bacterium. Its description in RNAcentral is "partial 16S ribosomal RNA". It matches the Rfam family "Bacterial small subunit ribosomal RNA", at positions 512 to 816 of the family's 1533-position model. The record is from RNAcentral.
CAGCACGGUAAUACAGAGGGUGCGAGCGUUAAUCGGAUUUACUGGGCGUAAAGCGUGCGUAGGCGGCUUUUUAAGUCGGAUGUGAAAUCCCUGAGCUUAACUUAGGAAUUGCAUUCGAUACUGGGAAGCUAGAGUAUGGGAGAGGAUGGUAGAAUUCCAGGUGUAGCGGUGAAAUGCGUAGAGAUCUGGAGGAAUACCGAUGGCGAAGGCAGCCAUCUGGCCUAAUACUGACGCUGAGGUACGAAAGCAUGGGGAGCAAACAGGAUUAGAUACCCCGGUAGUCCCUGUCUCUUAUACACAU